UACGUAGGUGGCAAGCGUUGUCCGGAUUUAUUGGGCGUAAAGGGAGCGCAGGUGGUUUCUUAAGUCUGAUGUGAAAGCCCACGGCUUAACCGUGGAGGGUCAUUGGAAACUGGGGAACUUGAGUGCAGAAGAGGAAAGUGGAAUUCCAAGUGUAGCGGUGGAAUGCGUAGAUAUUUGGAGGAACACCAGUGACGAAGGCGACUUUCUGGUCUGUAACUGACACUGAGGCUCGAAAGCGUGGGGAGCGAACAGGAUUAGAUACCCUGGUAGUCCCUGA
Molecule: ribosomal RNA, 277 nt
Filed under: uncultured prokaryote
Description: partial 16S ribosomal RNA
Rfam family: Bacterial small subunit ribosomal RNA
Source: RNAcentral